This 495-nucleotide ribosomal RNA is filed under the name uncultured bacterium. Its description in RNAcentral is "bacterial SSU rRNA". It matches the Rfam family "Bacterial small subunit ribosomal RNA", at positions 8 to 507 of the family's 1533-position model. The record is from RNAcentral.
AGAGUUUGAUCAUGGCUCGAGGACGAACGGCUGGCGGCGUGCUUAACACAUGCAAGUCGAGCGGAAAGGCCCUUUCGGGGGUACUCGAGCGGCGAACGGGUGAGUAACACGUGAGUAAUCUGCCCUUGGCUUUGGGAUAACUACCGGAAACGGUGGCUAAUACCGGAUAUGACCAUGCUCGGCAUCGGGUGUGGUGGAAAGUUUUUUCGGCCAGGGAUGUGCUCGCGGCCUAUCAGCUUGUUGGUGGGGUAAUGGCCUACCAAGGCUUCGACGGGUAGCCGGCCUGAGAGGGUGACCGGCCACACUGGGACUGAGACACGGCCCAGACUCCUACGGGAGGCAGCAGUGGGGAAUAUUGGACAAUGGGCGGAAGCCUGAUCCAGCAACGCCGCGUGAGGGAUGACGGCCUUCGGGUUGUAAACCUCUUUCAGUACCGACGAAGCGCCGAUGAUGGUGGUGACGGUAGGUACAGAAGAAGCACCGGCCAACUACGUG